Molecule: ribosomal RNA, 373 nt
Filed under: uncultured bacterium
Lineage: Bacteria
Description: bacterial SSU rRNA
Rfam family: Bacterial small subunit ribosomal RNA
Source: RNAcentral
GACGAACGCUGGCGGCGUGCUUAACACAUGCAAGUCGAGCGGUAAGGCCCUUUCGGGGGUACACGAGCGGCGAACGGGUGAGUAACACGUGGGUGACCUGCCCUCAGCUCUGGGAUAAGCCUGGGAAACUGGGUCUAAUACUGGAUAUGACUCCACGGUGCAUGUCGUAGGGUGGAAAGCCUUGUGCGGCUGAGGAUGGGCCCGCGGCCUAUCAGCUUGUUGGUGGGGUGANGGCCUACCAAGGCGACGACGGGUAGCCGGCCUGAGAGGGCGACCGGCCACACUGGGACUGAGACACGGCCCAGACUCCUACGGGAGGCAGCAGUAGGGAAUCUUGCGCAAUGGGCAAAGCCUGACGCAGCGACGCCGCGUG